AGAAAACUCCCCCUCAUCUCCAAAAGACCCAGCUCUCCUACCAGUGCCACUUGCUCUGUGAAGCAUUUUUCAGGGUACAAAGUGACUUCUUCAAACUGGUGAUUUACAAACAAAUCAAAUACAAAAUUAAAAGACAAAACCCACAAGAAGCAAAAGCACUAACAAACCUAAUGGAGCCUCUAUCUCAAUAGGAUAUUUGGUACGAGGGAGGACUCCAUCCACACUGGACAAGAAAAAGUCAAUUUUCCUAGGUGGUGUAACCUGGAGAUAUUAAAUGGUGUAAUCAGGAAGUUUCAUUGUGUUUAAUCAGUGGACACCUACUUGCACCUGUUAUUUCCAAGCAGGAAAUGACUCUCAAGGCCAAAUUUAUGAUUUUUCAUAUAAUCUAAUAGUUUUUCUUAUAAUCUAGGAAAUCUGGUACUCUGGAGAGAACUAAGUGGUAGACUUAGCAUAGGAAGAAAACCACACCAUUUGCUGUAAAUACUGAACAAAAACUAAAGCUUUAUAGGAAUCAAUCAGUGAGGACCUGAGUUCUAGAGAUGGUUCUUGGUACAAGCACUUAAUCAAAUAUAAGGGCAGAAUGAACAUCACAAAGUCAGUGUUGCUGCACAAAGGUAG
This is a non-coding RNA of Oryctolagus cuniculus (rabbit), 618 nucleotides long. NCBI's taxonomy places the organism in Eukaryota, Metazoa, Chordata, Mammalia, Lagomorpha, Leporidae. The record is from RefSeq and is a predicted model, not a curated record.